Molecule: non-coding RNA, 498 nt
Organism: Labrus mixtus (cuckoo wrasse)
Lineage: Eukaryota; Metazoa; Chordata; Actinopteri; Labriformes; Labridae
Source: the annotation of a RefSeq genome assembly
GUAAAGAGAACUAUUCUCACACUUCUGGCUGAACAUCAGAUCAGGUCUCUUGUAGGUUCAAACCUUGUUGUAGAGAUGGAACUUUGGCUGUGGAUUAUUCUGGCUGCUCUUUUAUUUGAGUGUAAAGGAGAAGACAGAGUGAUCCAGCCAACAGAAGAUGUAUUUGCUUCUGAAGGAGACACAGUCACACUUGAUUGUACAUUUGAGACCACUGACACAAAUCCCUCUUUGUUCUGGUACAGACAAGAAGCAGGGGACUUUCCAAAAUACAUGUUGAGAUGCUACUCAAACAAAGCAGAAAAUGCUCCUGGGAUCUCGGAAGACAGAUUUAAAGCUGCAAUCAACGGGAAAUCUGUUCCCCUGAAGAUCCAGAAGCUUCAGCUGACUGACUCUGCUGUGUACUACUGUGCUCUGAAGCCCACAGUGACAGGAAACACCACAACUCUGUACAAAAACCUCUGGAGAGAAGACAACACAAUACUCUCCCACAUCCACUAG